Molecule: ribosomal RNA, 550 nt
Filed under: uncultured Acidobacteriota bacterium
Lineage: Bacteria; Pseudomonadati; Acidobacteriota
Description: bacterial SSU rRNA
Rfam family: Bacterial small subunit ribosomal RNA
Source: RNAcentral
UCGGGAAUUUUGGGCAAUGGGCGAAAGCCUGACCCAGCAACGCCGCGUGAAGGAUGAAAUCCCUCGGGAUGUAAACUUCGCAAGAACGGGAAGAAUAAGUUGGUGUGAGUAUCACCAGCGAUGACGGUACCGUUUGUAAGCUCCGGCUAACUCCGUGCCAGCAGCCGCGGUAAUACGGGGGGAGCAAGCGUUGUUCGGAUUUACUGGGCGUAAAGGGCGCGUAGGCGGCCACCGCAAGUCAAUUGUGAAAGCUCUGGGCUUAACCCAGAAAGGUCAACUGAUACUGCGGGGCUAGAGUGCAGAAGGGGCAACUGGAAUUCUCGGUGUAGCGGUGAAAUGCGUAGAUAUCGAGAGGAACACCUGCGGCGAAGGCGGGUUGCUGGGCUGACACUGACGCUGAAGCGCGAAAGCUAGGGGAGCGAACGGGGUUAGAUACCCCGGUAGUCCUAGCCUUAAACGAUGAAUGCUUGGUGUCUGGGGUUUUAUAGUCCCCGGGUGCCGUCGCUAACGCUUUAAGCAUUCCGCCUGGGGAGUACGGUCGCAAGACUGA